GACGAACGCUGGCGGCGUGCCUAAUACAUGCAAGUAGAACGCUGAAGAGAGGAGCUUGCUCUUCUUGGAUGAGUUGCGAACGGGUGAGUAACGCGUAGGUAACCCGCCUUGUAGCGGGGGAUAACUAUUGGAAACGAUAGCUAAUACCGCAUAACAAUGGAUGACACAUGUCAUUUAUUUGAAAGGGGCAAUUGCUCCACUACAAGAUGGACCUGCGUUGUAUUAGCUAGUAGGUGAGGUAACGGCUCACCUAGGCGACGAUACAUAGCCGACCUGAGAGGGUGAUCGGCCACACUGGGACUGAGACACGGCCCAGACUCCUACGGGAGGCAGCAGUAGGGAAUCUUCGGCAAUGGGGGCAACCCUGACCGAGCAACGCCGCGUGAGUGAAGAAGGUUUUCGGAUCGUAAAGCUCUGUUGUAAGUCAAGAACGAGUGUGAGAGUGGAAAGUUCACACUGUGACGGUAGCUUACCAGAAAGGGACGGCUAACUACGUGCCAGCAGCCGCGGUAAUACGUAGGUCCCGAGCGUUGUCCGGAUUUAUUGGGCGUAAAGCGAGCGCAGGCGGUUUGAUAAGUCUGAAGUUAAAGGCUGUGGCUCAACCAUAGUUCGCUUUGGAAACUGUCAAACUUGAGUGCAGAAGGGGAGAGUGGAAUUCCAUGUGUAGCGGUGAAAUGCGUAGAUAUAUGGAGGAACACCGGUGGCGAAAGCGGCUCUCUGGUCUGUAACUGACGCUGAGGCUCGAAAGCGUGGGGAGCGAACAGGAUUAGAUACCCUGGUAGUCCACGCCGUAAACGAUGAGUGCUAGGUGUUGGAUCCUUUCCGGGAUUCAGUGCCGCAGCUAACGCAUUAAGCACUCCGCCUGGGGAGUACGACCGCAAGGUUGAAACUCAAAGGAAUUGACGGGGGCCCGCACAAGCGGUGGAGCAUGUGGUUUAAUUCGAAGCAACGCGAAGAACCUUACCAGGUCUUGACAUCCCGAUGCUAUUUCUAGAGAUAGAAAGUUACUUCGGUACAUCGGUGACAGGUGGUGCAUGGUUGUCGUCAGCUCGUGUCGUGAGAUGUUGGGUUAAGUCCCGCAACGAGCGCAACCCCUAUUGUUAGUUGCCAUCAUUCAGUUGGGCACUCUAGCGAGACUGCCGGUAAUAAACCGGAGGAAGGUGGGGAUGGCGUCAAAUCAUCAUGCCCCUUAUGACCUGGGCUACACACGUGCUACAAUGGUUGGUACAACGAGUUGCGAGUCGGUGACGGCAAGCUAAUCUCUUAAAGCCAAUCUCAGUUCGGAUUGUAGGCUGCAACUCGCCUACAUGAAGUCGGAAUCGCUAGUAAUCGCGGAUCAGCACGCCGCGGUGAAUACGUUCCCGGGCCU
This 1369-nucleotide ribosomal RNA is filed under the name uncultured bacterium. Its description in RNAcentral is "bacterial SSU rRNA". It matches the Rfam family "Bacterial small subunit ribosomal RNA", at positions 28 to 1381 of the family's 1533-position model. The record is from RNAcentral.